GUCCGACUGUGUGUUGAGAGUUGUGGCCAGAGAAGUGCCAGGGUCUUCGUAACGUACUACACGCCCGCAGGAUUCGUCCCUUUCUGGAAUGUGUGUCGCCUACGUCUGGUGGUGACUGCCUUGAGUGCUGUGGCUAGUGGUUCUGCUCACGUCACCACUGUUGAUGGGGGAUGUGUAUAGAGGCCAUGUGGAGUUCGGGCUGUUUCCUGUACUGUCAGAAGUGUAUGGACAAUUGGAUGCCUCGUAUUUUGCUGUGGCAGUGGUCAAGGCUGACUCCAGCAUCACCUCCUCAGUCAACUCAAAGGCAAGUCCUGUCAUACUGGGAUUGAAAAACAGCAGGGUGGAAGAUUCCUGUGGUAACCUUACUGGAGGCUGGUCUUCUGAAGGCAGGCAAUUGUGACUACGCCGGGGAGAUUGGCACCUUCUUCAGUAGUUCUUGUGCCCCAGGUGCCAAGGAUCCUACAUAUGAUCCAAGGCACUAACCAAGUCACUCUGUGAGCUAUGUGUUGGCACUGAGGUAGGUACACGCAUAUUGUCAC
Long non-coding RNA from Homarus americanus (American lobster), 539 nucleotides. RefSeq lists it as uncharacterized. The transcript is spliced from 3 exons. Lineage: Eukaryota; Metazoa; Arthropoda; Malacostraca; Decapoda; Nephropidae. The record is from RefSeq and is a predicted model, not a curated record.